GGGGAAUAUUGUACAAUGGAGGAAACUCUGAUGCAGCAACGCCGCGUGAGUGAUGAAGGUCUUCGGAUUGUAAAGCUCUGUCUUCUGGGACGAUAAUGACGGUACCAGAGGAGGAAGCCACGGCUAACUACGUGCCAGCAGCCGCGGUAAUACGUAGGUAGCAAGCGUUGUCCGGAUUUACUGGGCGUAAAGGAUGUGUAGGCGGAUAUUUAAGUGAGAUGUGAAAUCCCCGGGCUUAACUUGGGGGCUGCAUUUCAAACUGGAUGUCUAGAGUGCAGGAGAGGGAAGCAGAAUUCCUAGUGUAGCGGUGAAAUGCGUAGAGAUUAGGAAGAAUACCAGUGGCGAAGGCGGCUUUCUGGACUGUAACUGACGCUGAGGCGCGAAAGCGUGGGGAGCAAAC
This 400-nucleotide ribosomal RNA is filed under the name uncultured bacterium. RNAcentral's name for it is "bacterial SSU rRNA". It matches the Rfam family "Bacterial small subunit ribosomal RNA", at positions 356 to 773 of the family's 1533-position model. The record is from RNAcentral.